RNAcentral lists this unclassified non-coding RNA (241 nucleotides) under Hevea brasiliensis (rubber tree). The record is from RNAcentral. Lineage: Eukaryota; Viridiplantae; Streptophyta; Magnoliopsida; Malpighiales; Euphorbiaceae.
UUUGAAUGGGAAAAACUGACCUAAAUUUGAUCCAUCUUUGUAAGUUCUACAGAUAAACACAUAUUGGUAGCGUUUAUUGGCGGGGUGCAAAAACAUCCUAAUGUAGGAAAUUUUAGUUUACAACCAUUGCAUGUGUAACGAUUUUGUUAUAGCCAUUGAUUUUGAUAGGUUUCAUGUGAAUCUCAUCAUAGUUGUAUGUACAACGGUUACAUAGAAUAAUUUCUCCUAAUAUAAGCAAAAA